ACCUCACUGAAAUGCUCCUUGAAAAACACACUGAUGAGAAAGUGGCCUUUCCAUCCUGCUUCGCCUCUGCUUAAAGAUCUGUUUCUGUUCACAGGAGGAAAAUGAACUCUCAUGCAAAUAAGGCAACAACGUUUUGAAGACCUGAAAUUUAGAAAUGUUACUUCAGACAAGCUUGAGGUUAGAAAUCAGGAAUGAAAGUGAGCCUUGCAACAUGUGGCAAGAAGAAAGAGGUGUCUCUGGAGCCAAGGAACUUACAGGUCAUGUAAACUGGGUCCUCCUUCAGCUUCACUCCAUGCUUGCUACUCAACCUUAGGCAAAACUAUGCUAUGGAGACCAAUACGUUAUAAACUGCAUCACCAGCUUUUGAAUGCUUGACUUUACAUUAAAAGAAUUUACACUAUA
Long non-coding RNA from Columba livia (rock pigeon), 402 nucleotides. RefSeq lists it as uncharacterized. NCBI's taxonomy places the organism in Eukaryota, Metazoa, Chordata, Aves, Columbiformes, Columbidae. The transcript is spliced from 2 exons. The record is from RefSeq and is a predicted model, not a curated record.